RNAcentral lists this long non-coding RNA (340 nucleotides) under Chrysemys picta bellii (western painted turtle). RNAcentral's name for it is "lncRNA (ENSCPBG00000018285.1)". Lineage: Eukaryota; Metazoa; Chordata; Testudines; Emydidae. The record is from RNAcentral.
GUUUCUAUGGCAACAGCAAAAUCUUUUACAAAGUAGCUGUCUUUUUCCCAGUUAUACUUAUCCAUUUGCUGCAUUUAAAUGAAACUAACUCUACAGAACUGUGCUUGUAGCUCCAGAAAUCAUGAUACCGCUGUACUUAUAUUAUCUUGGCAAGUACAGAAGAGCCAAACCCAAUCAGCGAACUGAGAAAUUAUCACAAGUCCAUAGCAGGAACAAGGCUAAACUUGGAAAUGGCUGCGAUUAUGUUCCUCUUCAAGACUCAGACUCUUCAAAAGUAAUUAGACUAACACCAGAGGUGCUAGAAUAUCAUACCAGUGUGGAGGAUGGAGAAAUUUCUUAA